Molecule: long non-coding RNA, 2257 nt
Organism: Betta splendens (Siamese fighting fish)
Lineage: Eukaryota; Metazoa; Chordata; Actinopteri; Anabantiformes; Osphronemidae
Source: Ensembl
GGCAAUGAAGGUAAGUAGUUAGUAAUAUACGUAUUAAUGGUGUCCAGGUUCUGUUUCUGUAUCUGUGUGAGGGAUGGUGAGUAAUUAAUGAGGGGGAAAAAGAUGCUGGCAUUUGGAAAUGCGACUCUGGAUGCCCUGUACAGCGCCCUAAGUUGUUUUAUUGAUGUUUUCUGAGGGUCCUGGUCCCUAUUAUUGAGUCCCACUGAGAAGACCACAACCUUGACAGAGGGGUGUGCUGGAGUUUUCUGUACCACUUUCCAAAAGUGGUAGAAAUUGGCACCAGGGUAGCUGUCGAUUUGUACCUCUGGGUGCAUAAACUCAAGGAUCCUGUUAAGGUUCGAGUCCCCCAAUAUCAGUACAGGUUUUUUACCCCUAAUGUGCCAGUCCUCCAGCUUGCGUGAAGGCCGGGCCUUGUGGCUGGUGGGAAAAAACAAUAAGGUACGGUUCUGUUCUCUCUCACUGCCUGACGUAAAAUCCUCCCAUUCCUCGUCCUCAGCCCGCCCAAAGUGCCCCUGCCGUGAGGACUCCAGCCGCACUGCUACCGAGGUGUUUUUGGAGCCUGGACCGAUCAAGGUGUCUGGGCGGCUGGCUCCCUGGCAGGGGGGCGGAUGGCACGGCUGAGUGACCUGGAGGACAGAGGUCAGCAGAGGAUGGGGAAAGCUGGUCAAUGUCACCUGUGGUGAGUGUUGCCACAUUUGUUAAGUCCCUGGCCUGUCGUACCUGUAAGCCCUGUUUACGAUUCGUUGCCUGUGGUUGGUAAAUUUCCCCUCCGGGAUCACAGACACUGGACUUAAUGGGGUGGUAUGGCGUCUGUUCUGUAAAGGAAGGAUCAUUAAUUACACUCGGUGCCGGAGGAGAGUCUAAUGAAAAGUGAAGGGUCAGCUGGGAUAUUGAAAACUGGUCCUGAUCAGGGCCCUGUGGAGAAAGGUUGGUGACAGGCGAAGGGGAGGAGGCAGCAAGUGGAGGAGGACGGUGAUGACGAGGAGGAAGUCGAGAGCAGGGAGCAGACUCCAGCACCUUUAAAGGGGAGAGAGUCUUUAAAGCUGAGCUAUUAUGAGACUUGAAAUUCCUCCUGGUCAGUUUGGAGGUUUGUUGCAGCACAUAGUGGGUCUGGUUAGACCGUGUGUCCGUGCUUGUGGUGGCUGAUUCAGCUUGUGGCUGGUUCUGGAUUUGAGUUUGUGGAGCUGCCAUCACCUGCUGCUGCAGAGUGGGCCUAUUGCCCAGACAGAGAGUUUGUAAAUUCCUACUGGGCCUGGGUAGCGGUGGAAAUUGCUCCCUGCUCUUUACGUCCAGUGGCUUGGAGACUGUUGGUGGUUCCUCUUCUGAAUCUCUGUUGGAAAGCAAAGGCUGGUUUGACAAUAAGACAGAAGGAGGAGUGUAAUGAGGAUCUGGGUUCUGCACUGCUGUUGCUGCUGCGGCCAGUACCCGCUCAACUGUCGUGGCUGUAGUGGGAGCAAGCCUGCCCCUGUACCGUUUUUCAGCCCAGUUUACUGCCACUUGAAGUGCAAUUGUUUCUAUUUAUUAGGCUAUAUUGAGAAAUGAUGUUAGCGUAGUGAUCCCGUAAAAUAACCAGGUUUUCCUCCAUCCACUUGUUGGUGUUAGUGGUGAUUUUGUUUUUAACUUCCUCUGUAGGACUUGCUGGUUUGAUGAACCCGGACAGCUUCUGACCUGCCUCAUCAUGCCUGCGGGAGGAGUGCCGGUAGAUAUGGCCCGGUCAGUAAUGUUUUUAUGAUGAAUGGCUUGGAUGAGUUUAAAAUACUUUUUAGCCAGGUCUCUUGUAUUAGGAUCUAGCACCUGUUUUAUCUUAGUUUGUCUUUUAACUCUACCUCUCUCCUCAGGUAAGGAGUUGUGGGUGUAAGUGUUAUUGUGUGAGCCCUCUGGAUUUUCCUCUCUGUGGCCUAGGUCACAUUGAGCAACAGUCUCCCCAUAGUGAGCCCCACCGUCCAUAUUGGAGGUCCUACCUUUAGCCUUGUUGUGGAAGGAUUGCGCCAUGUGGUUUGUCCUGGGCCUGGUGACGUGGAGUCUCUGCUUCUUAGGCCUCAGGUCUGUAGGCCUCACUUCCCUGUGGCUCAUUGUCCGGCUGUCGGUGUGCUUCCAGGUCCCGUUCCUGUCCAUCUGGUUUCUGGAGCAGAAAAAAACGCUCCCAGAGGCAUAAGGGGGUUUCAAUGUCCUCAGGUAAAUGUCCAAUCCAAGGUUAAACGCAUAAUCCACAAUGUGGUUGAAUAAAAAUCCACUCAGUGUGAAAGGUAACUAAAGG